RNAcentral lists this ribosomal RNA (959 nucleotides) under uncultured bacterium. RNAcentral's name for it is "bacterial SSU rRNA". It matches the Rfam family "Bacterial small subunit ribosomal RNA", at positions 8 to 995 of the family's 1533-position model. The record is from RNAcentral.
AGAGUUUGAUCAUGGCUCAGCCUGAACGCUGGCGGCGUGGCUAAGACAUGCAAGUCGCACGGACGUAGCAAUACGUUAGUGGCGAACGGGUGAGUAAUGAAUCGCUAAUGUGCCCCGGACUCUGAGAUAGCUGCCCGAAAGGGCAGGUAAUAUCAGAUGAUAUGCAGCUGUCGCAUGACAGUUGCCUCAAAGGUCCGCCGGUCUGGGAGCAGGCGAUUUUGUAUCAGCUAGUUGGUGAGGUAACGGCUCACCAAGGCGACGACGCAUAGCCGGACUGAGAGGUUGGCCGGCCACAUUGGGACUGAGACACUGCCCAGACUCCUACGGGGGGCUGCAGUAACGAAUCUUCCGCAAUGUACGAAAGUAUGACGGAGCGACGCCGCGCGCAGGACGAAGCCCUUCGGGGUGUAAACUGCUGUCAGGGGUUAGAAAGUUCUGAUCAACCCCAGAGGAAGGCACGGCUAACUCUGUGCCAGCAGCCGCGGUAAGACAGAGGUGCCGAGCGUUAGGCGGAAUCACUGGGCUUAAAGCGUGUGUAGGCGGACUUCUAAGUACCUUGUGAAAUCCCACGGCUUAACCGUGGAACUGCUUGGUAUACUGGUUGUCUUGGGCCAUCUAGGGGCUACCGGAACAAACGGUGGAGCGGUGAAAUGCGUAGAUAUCGUUUGGAACGCCAAUGGUGAAAACAGGUAGCUGGGGAUGUGCCGACGCUGAGACACGAAAGCCAGGGGAGCGAACGGGAUUAGAUACCCCGGUAGUCCUGGCUGUAAACGAUGUCGACUAGAUCGUAGUGGCUCUGACGCCGUUACGGUCGAAGCAAAAGUGCUAAGUCGACCGCCUGGGAAGUACGGUCGCAAGGCUAAACUCAAAGGAAUUGACGGGGCUCACACAAGCGGUGGAGCAUGUGGUUCAAUUCGAAGCAACGCGCAGAACCUUACCUGGGCUUGACAUGCUAGGAU